This 705-nucleotide ribosomal RNA is filed under the name Triticum aestivum (bread wheat). Its description in RNAcentral is "partial small subunit ribosomal RNA". The record is from RNAcentral. Lineage: Eukaryota; Viridiplantae; Streptophyta; Magnoliopsida; Poales; Poaceae.
AUGGCUUUAGUACGUGAUCUUUGGUUGCCAAGUAGUUUGGACACGAUGACAGGGCCAAUUUGGCCAUCUAUUGAGGCCGAAAAUUUUGAGUUGAGGCCUGGACUUAUUGCUCUCGUCUUGCAGAAUCAGUUUAGAGGAUUACCCAAUGAAGACCCUCAUGAGCACAUUAGUAAUGUUCUGGAGUAUGCCAAUACAGUCCAGUAUCAUGGUGUUUCCCAAGAUGCUAUCAAGUGUAUGUUGUUCACAUUCUCUCUCAGAGAUGCUGCUAAGGACUGGUACUAUUCUUUGCCAUCAAGAUCAUACACUUGGGGUGAUAUUUCACAAGCUUUCCUGCAUAGAUAUUUUCCACUUUACAAGCAAGCUACAAUUCGUGACCAGAUCCUCAGUUUUGCGCAAGAUGGUAGUGAGAGCUUGUAUGCAGCUUGGGAGAGAUAUAAGUAUUUGCUUAGAAAAUGUCCUAAUCAUGGGCAAAAGGAUUGGUUAGUGCUUCAGAUAUUCUAUAGAGGGCUGACACAUGCUUCAAGAGAUCUUAUUGAUAUGUCAGCUGGUGGAACAAUCAUGAACAACACCGUCGAGGGUGCAAUUAUUCUCAUUGAGAGCAUUGCCUUCCACCAAAUGCAAUGGGGUUAUGAAAGGCCUAGUUCAAAUCCGAAGGUUGCAGGCCUCGUGCAAUCAGAAGCUGUGUGUUCCAUAAGUGAACAGUAA